Molecule: long non-coding RNA, 276 nt
Filed under: Ursus americanus (American black bear)
Lineage: Eukaryota; Metazoa; Chordata; Mammalia; Carnivora; Ursidae
Description: lncRNA (ENSUAMG00000011472.1)
Source: RNAcentral
GCUGCAGUUCCAACUCCUUGACUCUGUGUUUGUACUUCCUCUAUGGUUUCUCUUCGUCCAGCCUCGAGCAUCCCAGGCAGUGCUUUGCCUCCUGUUGCUGAGACUGUAUGAGUGAAAACCCAGAAGACCCUUGGCAACCGAGCUACUAAGAAUGGACUCACAAAGAUGGCCCUGUCUGAAAAGAACAUCCGCAAUCUUCUAGGAAUCAGUGACCUUUGAGGAUGUAGCUGUAGACUUCACUCAGGAAGAGUGGACCCUGCUGGACAGGUCCCAGAG